This 261-nucleotide long non-coding RNA is filed under the name Homo sapiens (human). RNAcentral's name for it is "non-protein coding SNHG17:22". The record is from RNAcentral. Lineage: Eukaryota; Metazoa; Chordata; Mammalia; Primates; Hominidae.
AGGUCCCAGGGAUUGUCAGCUGACCUCUGUCCUGUGUGCCCAGUGGCCCCAGGUGACGUGUCUUCAAGAAGAGGCUGAGCUGCGGUGCUUGUAAGAGUCAUGUGCUGUUCCUGGGGCUUGGAUGAUGUAGGGGAAGCAAGGUGAAAGUGGUAUCCCGUGGUUCCACGUUCUGUCCUGCUGUGGGGCUGUCCCUCACAUGCUUUCAGUGGCUGUUGCAGAGGAAGAGCCUCCGGAAAUCUGCGUGGAAUCUCUUGGUGGUGU